GGGAUUGGGAAUACAGACUUUUGGCACCGGUUCCUAUUAAACCGGUGGGGAUUUAUACUUUUCGCAACGGUUCAAACCGAUGCCAAUUAUAAAAGAGGAAAAAAAAGGGAUAAAGGGAUUUGGCACCGGUUCAGUUCGAACUGGUGCGAAAUUUAUUGUAAAAUAAAAAAAAACCCGGAUAUACUCUUUCUUUCUCUGGCUUUCAUUUCCUCGAUCUUUCCUCCUCUCUCAUUUGAUGUGCCUCUCUCUCUCCUCCAUUGAAGCGUACUCAAAUUUCUCCAUUGAAGGGGCUUCAGAGCUUUCUCUCAGCACUUUCCUCAAACUCCUCUCUCCUUUGAUCUCUAUAACCGCCACUUUCCCUUUCCUUUCAUCUCUCAUUCGAUCUCCUUCUCCUUCUCUCUUUCUACAAUAUUGGAGGUUAGGGUUUCUGGGUGCGUCUAUUUUGAAUCGAUUCGAUGUGCGUGCGUCUUUAACAACAACAAAUUCGAAUCAAUUUCGAACCAAAAACCAGAAUUUCGAGGUUAGGGUUUUUGGGUUAUUUAGCUUUGCGUUAUAUUGCAGCUGUUCUAAGCUUUCUCCUCCAUUGAAACAACUUCUGAGAGUUUGAUACGAAUUGCUGGAUUCUCUCUUCUGCUCGAUUAUCGGUUGAGUAAUCACCCAAAUCGAAAGUUUCAGACACUGUAACUCCUGCUGAUGUUGGUCUGGAAGAGGAGAAUGUAGAUGAUGACCGAGGAUAUGGUCAUUCUUUGCUGAACCCAUUCAACCGAGCACCUAGAUGGGCCCAACCUAUAACAUAUUUGGAUAUCCA
Chenopodium quinoa (quinoa) is the source of this 808-nucleotide long non-coding RNA. RefSeq lists it as uncharacterized. The record is from RefSeq and is a predicted model, not a curated record. The transcript is spliced from 3 exons. NCBI's taxonomy places the organism in Eukaryota, Viridiplantae, Streptophyta, Magnoliopsida, Caryophyllales, Amaranthaceae.